AUGGCGAGGCAUCGCCUCCUUGCCGUGCUCCUCAUCGGGAUAGUUGCAGCCUCCGCCUUCAACCAAGCAGCUGCGGCUGGCCGAGGCCUUGCUGUCGUCGAGAAAUUUGCAGAGCUAGAGCCAAAGCCAGAACCCAAACCAGAGCCAAUGCCCAAACCUAUGCCACACACAGAGCCAGAGCCAUGCAAACCUGAACCGACGCCCAAACCCAAACAAAAGCCCGGACAGAAGCCUGAACCAAAACCCAAGCCCAAACCGAUGCCAAAACCGAAGCCCGAGCCGUGCUCCAAACCAAAGCCGGGGCCUAAGCCUGAGCCGAUGCCAAAACCCGAACCAAAGCCAGAGCCCAAGCCUGAACCUGAACCGAAACCGAAGCCGCCUUCAAAGUGCAAACCACCGACAACUCACAAUUGA
RNAcentral lists this ribosomal RNA (414 nucleotides) under Triticum aestivum (bread wheat). Its description in RNAcentral is "partial small subunit ribosomal RNA". Lineage: Eukaryota; Viridiplantae; Streptophyta; Magnoliopsida; Poales; Poaceae. The record is from RNAcentral.